AGAGUUUGAUCUUGGCUCAGGAUGAACGCUAGCGGCAGGCUUAAUACAUGCAAGUCGAACGGGAUUCAGGUAGCAAUACUUGAUGAGAGUGGCGCACGGGUGCGUAACACGUAUGCAACCUACCUUUAACUGGUGAAUAGCCCCGGGAAAUCGGGAUUAAUACACCAUAACAUUACAAGAGGGCAUCCUCUAAUAAUUAAAGAACUUCGGUUAAAGAUGGGCAUGCGGGACAUUAGCUAGUUGGUGAGGUAACGGCUCACCAAGGUAAUGAUGUUUAGGGGUCCUGAGAGGGUUAUCCCCCACACUGGUACUGAGACACGGACCAGACUCCUACGGGAGGCAGCAGUAAGGAAUAUUGGUCAAUGGGCGCAAGCCUGAACCAGCCAUGCCGCGUGAAGGAAGACGGCGCUAUGCGUUGUAAACUUCUUUUGUCAGGGAAUAAAUGUAGGUACGUGUACUUACUUGAAGGUACCUGAAGAAUAAGCAUCGGUUAACUUCGUGCCAGCAGCCGCGGUAAUACGGAGGAUGCAAGCGUUAUCCGGAUUCAUUGGGUUUAAAGGGUGCGCAGGCGGAUUGGUAAGUCAGGGGUGAAAUCCCACAGCUCAACUGUGGAACUGCCUUUGAUACUGUCAGUCUAGAGUAUAGUUGAAGUUGGCGGAAUGUGUCAUGUAGCGGUGAAAUGCUUAGAUAUGACACAGAACACCGAUCGCGAAGGCAGCUAGCUAAGCUAUAACUGACGCUCAUGCACGAAAGCGUGGGGAUCAAACAGGAUUAGAUACCCUGGUAGUCCGCGCUGUAAACGAUGAUUACUCGAUGUUGGCGAUACACAGUCAGCGUCUGAGCGAAAGCAAUAAGUAAUCCACCUGGGGAGUACGAUCGCAAGAUUGAAACUAAAACGAAUUGACGGA
Molecule: ribosomal RNA, 908 nt
Filed under: Bacteroidetes bacterium enrichment culture clone B20(2010)
Lineage: Bacteria; Pseudomonadati; Bacteroidota
Description: bacterial SSU rRNA
Rfam family: Bacterial small subunit ribosomal RNA
Source: RNAcentral